RNAcentral lists this ribosomal RNA (253 nucleotides) under uncultured prokaryote. RNAcentral's name for it is "partial 16S ribosomal RNA". It matches the Rfam family "Bacterial small subunit ribosomal RNA", at positions 525 to 777 of the family's 1533-position model. The record is from RNAcentral.
ACAGAGGGGGCAAGCGUUGUUCGGAAUUACUGGGCGUAAAGGGCGUCUAGGCGGCUUGCUAAGUCUUGUGUGAAAUCUCCCGGCUCAACUGGGAGGGUGCAUGGGAAACUGGCAGGCUUGAGACUCGAAGGGGGGUGCGGAAUUCCCGGCGGAGCGGUGGAAUGCGUUGAUAUCGGGAGGAACACCCGAGGCGAAGGCGGCACCCUGGUCGAGGUCUGACGCUGAAGCGCGACAGCGUGGGGAGCGAACGGGA